This 119-nucleotide ribosomal RNA is filed under the name Pteropus alecto (black flying fox). The record is from RNAcentral. Lineage: Eukaryota; Metazoa; Chordata; Mammalia; Chiroptera; Pteropodidae.
GUCUAUGGCCAUGCCACCUUGAAUGUGCCCGAUCUUGUCUGAUCUCGGAAGUUAAGCAGAGUCAGGCCUGGUUAGUACUUGGAUGGGAGACCACCUUGGAAUAGCAGGUGCCGUAGGCA